GACGAACGCUGGCGGCGUGCUUAACACAUGCAAGUCGAACGGAAAGGCCCUGCUUUUGUGGGGUGCUCGAGUGGCGAACGGGUGAGUAACACGUGAGUAACCUGCCCUUGACUUUGGGAUAACUUCAGGAAACUGGGGCUAAUACCGGAUAGGAGCUCCUGCUGCAUGGUGGGGGUUGGAAAGUUUCGGCGGUUGGGGAUGGACUCGCGGCUUAUCAGCUUGUUGGUGGGGUAGUGGCUUACCAAGGCUUUGACGGGUAGCCGGCCUGAGAGGGUGACCGGCGAGAGUGGGACUGAGGUACGGCCCGGACGACGCCGGGAGGCAGAAGGGGGGGAGGUUGCAGGAUGGGCGGGGGCGUGAUGCCGCAACGCCGUGUGCGGGAUGAGGGGUUACGGGUUGGAAAAAGGUGCCGCCUGUGAAGAAGGGGGAGUGAGGGGAGUGGGUAAAGAAGCCACGGCUAACUAGGUG
This 468-nucleotide ribosomal RNA is filed under the name uncultured bacterium. RNAcentral's name for it is "partial 16S ribosomal RNA". It matches the Rfam family "Bacterial small subunit ribosomal RNA", at positions 28 to 507 of the family's 1533-position model. The record is from RNAcentral.